GUGGGGAAUAUUGCACAAUGGGCGCAAGCCUGAUGCAGCAACGCCGCGUGAGGGACGACGGCCUUCGGGUUGUAAACCUCUUUUAGCAGGGAAGAAGCGAAAGUGACGGUACCUGCAGAAAAGGCACCGGCUAACUACGUGCCAGCAGCCGCGGUAAUACGUAGGGUGCAAGCGUUGUCCGGAAUUAUUGGGCGUAAAGAGCUCGUAGGCGGUUUGUCGCGUCUGCUGUGAAAACCCGAGGCUCAACCUCGGGCCUGCAGUGGGUACGGGCAGACUAGAGUGCGGUAGGGGAGAUUGGAAUUCCUGGUGUAGCGGUGGAAUGCGCAGAUAUCAGGAGGAACACCGAUGGCGAAGGCAGAUCUCUGGGCCGUAACUGACGCUGAGGAGCGAAAGCGUGGGGAGCGAACAGGAUUAGAAACCCCGGUAGUCC
RNAcentral lists this ribosomal RNA (430 nucleotides) under uncultured bacterium. Its description in RNAcentral is "partial 16S ribosomal RNA". It matches the Rfam family "Bacterial small subunit ribosomal RNA", at positions 354 to 796 of the family's 1533-position model. The record is from RNAcentral.